UACGUAGGUCCCGAGCGUUGUCCGGAUUUAUUGGGCGUAAAGCGAGCGCAGGUGGUUUAUUAAGUCUGGUGUAAAAGGCAGUGGCUCAACCAUUGUAUGCAUUGGAAACUGGUAAACUUGAGUGCAGGAGAAGAGAGUGGAAUUCCAUGUGUAGCGGUGAAAUGCGUAGAUAUAUGGAGGAACACCGGUGGCGAAAGCGGCUCUCUGGCCUGUAACUGACACUGAGGCUCGAAAGCGUGGGGAGCAAACAGG
Molecule: ribosomal RNA, 252 nt
Filed under: uncultured bacterium
Lineage: Bacteria
Description: partial 16S ribosomal RNA
Rfam family: Bacterial small subunit ribosomal RNA
Source: RNAcentral